UGAGCGUGCCGGGCGUUCGCUAUCGCAGCAAUGCGAUAGAGGAAAGUCCGAACACCAAAGGGCAGCGAGCCGGAUAACAUCCGGGCGACCGAGAGAUCGGUUGACGACAAGUGCAACAGAAAACAAACCAGCCUUUUCGAAGGUGAUGGGUGAAACGGUGAGGUAAGAGCUCACCGGCGAGCGUGGCAACAUGUUCGGCCAGGCAAACUCCUCGCGGUGCAAGGCCAAAUAGGGAAACGAGAUGGAAGCGGUCCGCUUCCGGUUUCGGUCGAAAGGCCAGCUGCGUUUCCGGGUAGGCCGCUUGAGCCGUUCGGCGACGAACGGCCUAGAUGAAUGAACGCCGCCCGCACAUUUGUGCGGACACAGGAUUCGGCUUACAGGCACGUUCAGCUG
This 393-nucleotide RNase P RNA is filed under the name Acidobacteriota bacterium. RNAcentral's name for it is "Acidobacteria bacterium RNase P RNA component class A". It matches the Rfam family "Bacterial RNase P class A". Rfam says of the family: Ribonuclease P (RNase P) is a ubiquitous endoribonuclease, found in archaea, bacteria and eukarya as well as chloroplasts and mitochondria. Its best characterised activity is the generation of mature 5'-ends of tRNAs by cleaving the 5'-leader elements of precursor-tRNAs. Lineage: Bacteria; Pseudomonadati; Acidobacteriota. The record is from RNAcentral.